Molecule: ribosomal RNA, 425 nt
Filed under: uncultured bacterium
Lineage: Bacteria
Description: partial 16S ribosomal RNA
Rfam family: Bacterial small subunit ribosomal RNA
Source: RNAcentral
GUGGGGAAUCUUGCGCAAUGGGCGAAAGCCUGACGCAGCCAUGCCGCGUGAAUGAUGAAGGUCUUAGGAUUGUAAAAUUCUUUCACCGGGGACGAUAAUGACGGUACCCGGAGAAGAAGCCCCGGCUAACUUCGUGCCAGCAGCCGCGGUAAUACGAAGGGGGCUAGCGUUGCUCGGAAUUACUGGGCGUAAAGGGCGCGUAGGCGGAUAGUUUAGUCAGAGGUGAAAGCCCAGGGCUCAACCUUGGAAUUGCCUUUGAUACUGGCUAUCUUGAGUAUGGAAGAGGUAUGUGGAACUCCGAGUGUAGAGGUGAAAUUCGUAGAUAUUCGGAAGAACACCAGUGGCGAAGGCGACUCACUGGCCCGUUACUGACGCUGAGGCGCGAAAGCGUGGGGAGCAAACAGGAUUAGAAACCCGGGUAGUCC